Molecule: ribosomal RNA, 301 nt
Filed under: uncultured bacterium
Lineage: Bacteria
Description: partial 16S ribosomal RNA
Rfam family: Bacterial small subunit ribosomal RNA
Source: RNAcentral
CAGUAGCCGCGGGAAUACGUAGGUGGCAAGCGUUGUCCGGAAUUACUGGGCGUAAAGCGAGCGCAGGCGGUUAGAUAAGUCUGAAGUUAAAGGCUGUGGCUUAACCAUAGUACGCUUUGGAAACUGUUUAACUUGAGUGCAAGAGGGGAUAGUGGAAUUCCAUGUGUAGCGGUGAAAUGCGUAGAUAUAUGGAGGAACACCGGUGGCGAAAGCGGCUCUCUGGCUUGUAACUGACGCUGAGGCUCGAAAGCGUGGGGAGCAAACAGGAUUAGAUACCCCAGUAGUCCCUGUCUCUUAUACC